Molecule: ribosomal RNA, 194 nt
Filed under: uncultured bacterium
Lineage: Bacteria
Description: partial 16S ribosomal RNA
Rfam family: Bacterial small subunit ribosomal RNA
Source: RNAcentral
UCUACGGGAGGCAGCAGUAAGGAAUAUUGGUCAAUGGGCGGAAGCCUGAACCAGCCAUGCCGCGUGCAGGAUGACUGCCCUAUGGGUUGUAAACUGCUUUUGUCCAGGAAUAAACCCAGAUACGUGUAUCUGGCUGAAUGUACUGGAAGAAUAAGGAUCGGCUAACUCCGUGCCAGCAGCCGCGGUAAUACGGA